CAAUGUUUCCUCAGUUUGCGAGCUGAGAACUAGCCCUUGUGCAGACAAAAUUGGAAAAGUUAAAUUCACUUCGUAUGUUAUUUGUUCUGAAAGGAAAAGUUCUGCAGAAGAUAAGACAACCGAAAUUGUCUCACUGCCUUACAACGAGGCAAUGAAUGUUAUUCUUGUGUGCUUACAACAGAAAUUGGAAUGGGAG
Long non-coding RNA from Dendronephthya gigantea, 196 nucleotides. RefSeq lists it as uncharacterized. The transcript is spliced from 3 exons. The record is from RefSeq and is a predicted model, not a curated record. Lineage: Eukaryota; Metazoa; Cnidaria; Anthozoa; Malacalcyonacea; Nephtheidae.